ACAACUUUCAGCAACGGAUCUCUUGGCUCUGGCAUCGAUGAAGAACGCAGCGAAAUGCGAUAAGUAAUGUGAAUUGCAGAAUUCAGUGAAUCAUCGAAUCUUUGAACGCACAUUGCGCCCGCCAGUAUUCUGGCGGGCAUGCCUGUUCGAGCGUCAUUACAACCCUCAGGCCCCCGGGCCUGGCGUUGGGGAUCGGCGGAAGCCCCCUGCGGGCACAACGCCGUCCCCCAAAUACAGUGGCGGUCCCGCCGCAGCUUCCAUUGCGUAGUAGCUAACACCUCGCAACUGGAGAGCGGCGCGGCCACGCCGUAAAACACCCAACUUCUGAAUGUUGACCUCGAAUCAGGUAGGAAUACCCGCUGAACUUAAGCAUAUCAAUAAGCGGGGGAAAAGAAACCAACAGGGAUUGCCCCAGUAACGGCGAGUGAAGCGGCAACAGCUCAAAUUUGAAAUCUGGCUCUCGGGCCCGAGUUGUAAUUUGUAGAGGAUGCUUUUGGUGAGGUGCCUUCCGAGUUCCCUGGAACGGGACGCCAUAGAGGGUGAGAGCCCCGUCUGGUUGGACACCGAUCCUCUGUAAAGCUCCUUCGACGAGUCGAGUAGUUUGGGAAUGCUGCUCUAAAUGGGAGGUAUAUGUCUUCUAAAGCUAAAUACCGGCCAGAGACCGAUAGCGCACAAGUAGAGUGAUCGAAAGAUGAAAAGAACUUUGAAAAGAGAGUUAAAAAGUACGUGAAAUUGUUGAAAGGGAAGCGCUUGUGACCAGACUUGGGCUUGGUUGAUCAUCCGGGGUUCUCCCCGGUGCACUCUUCCGGCUCAGGCCAGCAUCAGUUCGCCCUGGGGGAUAAAGGCUUCGGGAAUGUGGCUCUCUCCGGGGAGUGUUAUAGCCCGCUGCGUAAUACCCUGUGACGGACUGAGGUUCGCGCAUUCGCAAGGAUGCUGGCGUAAUGGUCAUCAGUGACCCGUCUUGAAACACGGACC
This 975-nucleotide ribosomal RNA is filed under the name uncultured Hypocreales. Its description in RNAcentral is "eukaryotic LSU rRNA". The stretch from base 333 to 975 matches the Rfam family "Eukaryotic large subunit ribosomal RNA", at positions 1 to 667 of the family's 3401-position model. Lineage: Eukaryota; Fungi; Ascomycota; Sordariomycetes; Hypocreales. The record is from RNAcentral.